RNAcentral lists this ribosomal RNA (440 nucleotides) under uncultured bacterium. Its description in RNAcentral is "partial 16S ribosomal RNA". It matches the Rfam family "Bacterial small subunit ribosomal RNA", at positions 338 to 795 of the family's 1533-position model. The record is from RNAcentral.
CCUACGGGCGGCAGCAGUGGGGAAUAUUGCACAAUGGGGGAAACACUGAUGCAGCGACGCCGCGUGAAGGAAGAAGUAAUUCGGUAUGUAAACUUCUAUCAGCAGGGAUGAAAAUGACGGUACCUGACUAAGAAGCCCCGGCUAACUACGUGCCAGCAGCCGCGGUAAUACGUAGGGGGCAAGCGUUAUCCGGAUUUACUGGGUGUAAAGGGAGCGUAGGCGGUGCAGCAAGUCAGAAGUGAAAGCCCCGGGCUCAACUCCGGGACUGCGUUUGAAACUGUUGAACUAGAUUGCAGGAGAGGUAAGUGGAAUGCCUGGUGUAGCGGUGAAAUGCGUAGAUAUUAGGAGGAACACCAGUGGCGAAGGCGGCAUACUGGACUGUAAAUGACGCUGAGGCUCGAAAGCGUGGGGAGCGAACAGGAUUAGAUACCCCAGUAGUC